AAUAAAACAAGGUUGCACGUUUGUUUGUAGCCGGCACUUUAGUAAAUCAGACUACACUAGCUAGUAACCAACCGGGGUCACAUCAAGCGACUGAAAAUCGGGUCUGUACCCUCCCGUUUCAAGUGGAACAACUGGGGACUGCCAAGAAGGGAGUCUGUUAAUAAAAGUGCAUCAACUCGCUUAGGCCAUGACGUUCACCCAGCCUUUCCUCUGGAGCAACCGCUGCCUUGUGAAGAAGGGCCGAUGGAGGAGAUCGCAGCUUCGGUGGUGAUGACAGAACAUGAUUUCGGUCCUGAUCCUAAACCAGGUGCACUGGAUGCUGCUGCUGCACGCAUACAGCAAUUGGAAGAAACAGUCAAGGAGCUGACAAGAGAGCUGUCACAGCUGAAAGUGGGUCAAGUGCCUUUUCACAGAUUUUGUGUCUCAGACAAGGACAUCCUUUUUUACACCAGAUUCACAUCAAGAGAUGUUUUUUGUGACUUCUGGGAGGCUAUUCAGCCAUCUGCCUCCAUGUUGGUCUAUUGGUCGAAAUCUCAGAAAAAGAAACAAACAUUUGAACCCAUUUCUCCCAGUCCAACGCGUAGACUUCAACUGGUUGAUGAGUUUUUCUCUUCUGCUCCCGGGUUGCUGCAGGCCUGCAAGAAAAAGUGCUGGCUGACAUGUUUCAGGUCAGUGUGUCCACUGUCUCCUGUGUUGUUAUAACGUGGGCCAACUACCUUUACCUGCUCCUUGACUCCCUCCCCAUUUGGAUGAGUAAACAGCAAGUCAAGAACACCAUACCAAGCAAAUUUGUGCAGUACAGUCCAGAUGUUUGGGUAAUCAUCGUCUGCACCGAGGUGCGAUGCCAGAAUCCAUAAUCCCUCACUCUCCAGUCUGAGGUUUUCUCAUUUUACAAGAACACGACAACCUUUAAGGCCUUGAUUGGGAUUGCCCCUUGAAGUGCUGUGACUUUUGUCAAGUCUCUUCACCGGCUCAAUCUCUGACCGAGAGCUGACUGGACGAAGUGGACUGCUGGAUUUACUGGAGCCAGGAGAUGGCUGCAUGGCAGACAAGCGUUACACCAUUGAGAAGCUGCUAGCUCACCGUGGGGCAAUGCUGAUUAUACCACCCUUCAAGAUGACAGUUCACCGAAGAGGAUGCUCUGAAAACACAAGCAAUCGCCCGACUUCGAAUCCUCGUGGAAAGAGCAAUACGCCGAGUCAAGGAAUACCGCAUCUGGGAACGCACUGUCCUCUCACCUUGUCUGGGACAGUCAACCAGCUGGGGACCGUCUGCUGUGUGAUGACCAACUUCCAGGGACCACUUGAUUUAAAAGGCUACAUCCCUGUUGAAUAGUGUUCCUACUCAAACAUAUACCUAUAACUAUUAAAUAUAAGAAAUAAAUAUUAAAACGAGAGACACUGAACAUUUGGAGUGGUCCCUUUAUUUUUUCCGGAGCUGUAAUUCUGUAUACUGAAAACAUUGUAUGUAUUGAAUGACAUGUAUAUAAUUCAAUGAGAAGUCUUUCAUCUAUAAUCAAUUUUAAAGUCCAGU
Long non-coding RNA from Gadus macrocephalus (Pacific cod), 1533 nucleotides. RefSeq lists it as uncharacterized. The record is from RefSeq and is a predicted model, not a curated record. The transcript has 3 exons. Lineage: Eukaryota; Metazoa; Chordata; Actinopteri; Gadiformes; Gadidae.